Perca flavescens (yellow perch) is the source of this 910-nucleotide long non-coding RNA. RefSeq lists it as uncharacterized. The transcript has 5 exons. The record is from RefSeq and is a predicted model, not a curated record. NCBI's taxonomy places the organism in Eukaryota, Metazoa, Chordata, Actinopteri, Perciformes, Percidae.
CAACCCGAACAGACGCACAUCGAGAGAGACUUCACUAACGUGUUGGCGCAGGUUAUGUUACGCUAUAUGUCAGUUACUACUGCUCAUGUACGAUAAUUAAAUAUAGCGCCGUGGAGACCAGGCAUUGUAUGGUCGAUGUUGUAGAGUAAACUAUAGUAUAAAGUGUAGAAUCUCCGUUCGGUUGUCUGUCGACUCUUUGAGCUAACCGGCUAACUGCUAGCUCUCUCGACCUAUCUAGCUAGCUAGCUACACCAUUUAAUGCGUAGCUAGCUAGCUGCCAAGACCGCAGUCUCCACAACAACGGACUUUCAACUGACAGAAAGGGGCGGUUAUCUUCACUGUUGGAGACCAGUACAUCAUCCUGGGAGCUCGAAGGGACUCGCUGGGUGAGCUGUGACGUUCGGAGGUGGCUCGGACUUUCUCUGCCUUGGUGAAGAACGCCAUCUUCCUGCUGUCCACAACCGGAACCUGCCUGCUCCCGGGGUCCUUCGGGCAGAUCUCGGCACGUUCUGGACCCUGAUUUCCAUCCGAGCUGGAGUCGGGGGGUUGCCGUGCUGAGAAGUCGAAAUAGGAACAUUGCCACCCAGUCUUCGUCCCCUCCUGUGUCCAUCCUCUGCGGGCCAGCCGGGCUGCAGUGAGGAUCGAGUCCAUCUGGCAGUGCAGCUUCUCUGCUUGGUCUGACUGAUAACUGCUGCCCUCCAUCCACCUCCUGGUUUAAGGUAUCUCUGAACUGAUGCAGUGCUGAUAUCCGCGUUGACAGGACGUGCAACUCAGAGCUCUCUCAUCACACAGAUACACAGAAGCCACCAUGACUUCCAAGAUGGUCAUCCAUCAGCCUCAGCCUGUGAUGGUCGCCCGAGAAUCGGAGGAGUGGUCAUCUGGGAUAUGUGACUGCUGUGACGACGUGCCC